Molecule: transfer RNA, 74 nt
Filed under: Deltaproteobacteria bacterium
Lineage: Bacteria; Pseudomonadati; Myxococcota; Myxococcia
Description: tRNA-Arg
Rfam family: tRNA
About the family: Transfer RNA (tRNA) molecules are approximately 80 nucleotides in length. Their secondary structure includes four short double-helical elements and three loops (D, anti-codon, and T loops).
Source: RNAcentral
GCGCCAGUAGCUCACCUGGAUAGAGCAACGGCCUUCUAAGCCGUAGGCAGUGGGUUCGAGUCCCGCCUGGCGCG